CAGGCCUAAUACAUGCAAGUCGAGGGGUAGAGCUAGCUUGCUAGCUUGAGACCGGCGCACGGGUGCGUAACGCGUAUGCAACCUACCUUCAUCAGGGGGAUAGCCCGGAGAAAUCCGGAUUAACACCGCAUGAAAUCACAGAACGGCAUCGUUCAAUGAUCAAACAUUUAUGGGAUGGAGAUGGGCAUGCGUGUCAUUAGUUAGUUGGCGGGGUAACGGCCCACCAAGACCGCGAUGACUAGGGGAUCUGAGAGGAUGACCCCCCACACUGGUACUGAGACACGGACCAGACUCCUACGGGAGGCAGCAGUAAGGAAUAUUGGUCAAUGGGCGAGAGCCUGAACCAGCCAUGCCGCGUGCAGGAAGACGGCCCUCUGGGUUGUAAACUGCUUUUAUUCGGGAAUAAACCUACUUACGUGUAAGUAGCUGAAUGUACCGAGGGAAUAAGGAUCGGCUAACUCCGUGCCAGCAGCCGCGGUAAUACGGAGGAUCCAAGCGUUAUCCGGAUUUAUUGGGUUUAAAGGGUGCGUAGGCGGCCUGUUAAGUCAGGGGUGAAAGACGGUAGCUCAACUAUCGCAGUGCCCUUGAUACUGAUGGGCUUGAAUGGACUAGAGGUAGGCGGAAUGUGACAAGUAGCGGUGAAAUGCAUAGAUAUGUCACAGAACACCGAUUGCGAAGGCAGCUUACUAUGGUCCUAUUGACGCUGAGGCACGAAAGCGUGGGGAUCAAACAGGAUUAGAUACCCUGGUAGUCCACGCCCUAAACGAUGAACACUCGCUGUU
Molecule: ribosomal RNA, 782 nt
Filed under: Pedobacter sp.
Lineage: Bacteria; Pseudomonadati; Bacteroidota; Sphingobacteriia; Sphingobacteriales; Sphingobacteriaceae
Description: bacterial SSU rRNA
Rfam family: Bacterial small subunit ribosomal RNA
Source: RNAcentral